Molecule: non-coding RNA, 385 nt
Organism: Catenulispora acidiphila DSM 44928
Lineage: Bacteria; Bacillati; Actinomycetota; Actinomycetes; Catenulisporales; Catenulisporaceae
Rfam family: transfer-messenger RNA
About the family: Bacterial tmRNA, also known as 10Sa RNA or SsrA, is named for its dual tRNA and mRNA-like properties.
Source: Rfam
GGGGCCGAACGGUUUCGACAUUGGACGUUUUGGCAGGGGAAGCGGGCCGAGGAAGCAGCGAUGAUCUCGUUAACCACACGCUGCAAAAAAAAUAACUGCCAACAAGACGCAGCUGAAGUCGCAGACCGCUUACGGUCUCGCCGCCUGACACUAAUCAGGUCAUGACUUCUGUCGACCCGGGAGCGCCUCCGGCCCGGUAAGACAUCAUUAGGAGGAUCCACCGUCGAGCACGGCCACAGGGCCCGACGGGACACUCAUGUGGCUGGGCCUGUCAGCAGCGUGCCUGUGAGACUGCCGGGGCCAACAAAAGCGACCACAGGCUCCGCCCGAAGAAGCCCUGACAAGCCGCCGAUGGACGCGGGUUCAAUUCCCGCCGGCUCCACUG